This is a long non-coding RNA of Nannospalax galili (Upper Galilee mountains blind mole rat), 3724 nucleotides long. RefSeq lists it as uncharacterized. The transcript has 10 exons. NCBI's taxonomy places the organism in Eukaryota, Metazoa, Chordata, Mammalia, Rodentia, Spalacidae. The record is from RefSeq and is a predicted model, not a curated record.
GGUGGUUCUGGUGUUGAAAGCGUGAAGGGAUCACAGUGAGCAGCUGCAGCUUGGCACUCUGAGAGGCCAGGAAGGCCAUAGGUGAAAGUGCAGCCUCAGUUGCAGUAAAGACCCCAGGACUGAAGGGUCAUGGAGUGAAUCUGAAGCAUUGUACCCCAAGAGGCCAGAAGAAGCCAUUGGUGAGAGUGCAGUCUCAGUUUCAGUGGAGACCCCAGCUUUUUGGAGAUGGUAGGACCAUGGGAGAACCACCAAUGGCAGUAGCAGGUGUGGAAUGGAACUGCCCUGGGUCUGUGAGACCAGCUGUGUGUGCUGUGGACAGGAGAGUCAGAGAAGUGGAGUUGCUCAAACCUUUUGGAGCCCAUAAGAUGCUCCUGCCUCCAGGUUCCUGCCCUGAGUUCCUUCCAUGGGAUUACUGAUGAACUGCAACUCUGGAAUUUUUUCUCAGAGAUGUUGUCUGUCUCUACGGAACACAAAUAAAAAGGAAAACAGACCUAGAGGAAUAUUUCCCCAAAGAAACAGUCCCUGCGUUGGAUAUUUGUUACAGGCAAAGAGCUUGGAGAUGGAGGGUUAGAGGACAGAUGCCCCACCCUGAGUUCAACCUUGAACUUCAAGAGAACAUGGAGAGAAUCACAAGCCAAAUGGUUCUCAGCAACAUGAUGCUCAAUUAAGCUUUCUGUGAUUAGACUUGAAGCAAAGAGUUCUAACUAAAAGAAAAUCCUGCUGUGCCUUACAGGAGAACAAGAGAUGUAUGUAUCCAAGUCCUGAGCGAUGUGACACCACUGCCUAUCAGAUGUGUGGGGUGAGAGAAGUCAAAUGAAUAAGCCUUAUGGUUUCAGAUGUUACUAGACUACUCAUUUUUCUUUGUCACGAUGGGAAGACAAGAUGAGAUAUCACAAAGUGAGGCCAAACACUGGAGGUCUGACAACAGGGAACAAGAGAAAAUGGGAUUAGACAACAGCAUGAGGGAUUUGGAAUAGAAAUAAGAAUUUCCUGAUUAUGUAGACUCUCAAACAGUAAAAUGUGCUUUGGAGGAAGUAUGUGGACAUCAGUUUAUUUUGAUGCCUUCAGAAAACAGAAAGGCACAUUUUCACCAUUUGGGCUCAUAUGUGUGAAGAGCAGGAGACCAGAUGAUACAUGGUCAGGAUUCUCUUCAUCUAUGAGCAGAAUCUAAAAAUGGGACAUGGUGAACAAGGAGCAGCAGCUAUUUUCAAAUAGUAGUUAUUGUCUGAUGUCAACUUUUCUCAUGGGGACAGACUGGCAAAUUUCACCUGUACUGGAAAUGCUAAACUGAGUGGAAUGUCAUGAAAUAAGGGCUACUCAAAUUUUCUGUUGGCUUGCAUCAUUCUCAUUUUGCCCUCACCCACUAAGUAAGUGCUCAGUUUUCUUCUACUGUGACUGUGUAAAUAUCAAAGCGAAAUUAUUGGUCAUCCUGUUUGGUGACAUCUAUCCUUGGGAUGAAUGUUAGGAAAUCAUCCAUGACACUCCAGACAAGGAACCCUUAAGAAUCCAAAGACAUGUCUCUUACAUGGCACCAUGCCUCAGGUGAGAACAAGUGAAGCUACAAAUUUCUAAGCAUCCAGGUGUGCCUUUAAUUCAGCAGGUAUUGAGGAGCACUAUGAUUGGCUGCGGCAGACUUUCUCAACCAAAACUGUAUGCUAGUUUCCUGGGUAUCUUUACAUAUAAUGAAUGAAUUUCUUCCCUUUGUAUAGAGUACAGCAUUCGGUAGAUUUAAUCCAUAAGAUCACUGAGAAAACUUGUCACACAGUCAUGUUUCUGUGCUCUGUGGUUCAGAUGAAAGACCCUACUUUGAAAAGCUUCAAGUGUGGAGGAUGAAAUGACCAGCAAAACAGAGCUCACCUUCUAGAACUAGACUGGACUGUAUCAAUGAGAUGUGUUUUGUAGCUCUGUUGCCUAUAAGGUAACUGGUGGGCACAUGUGUCUAUUAAGUAUUUGAGAUGCAAUUGGUACAAUCGAGGAGAUGAAAUUAAUUCAAUAAUAACCCAUGUAAGUUGAAAGAGCCACCUAUAAGGAAUGGUUACCGUGUUGAACAACGCAGCUUUUGAAGUCAUCACAAUACUCAGUGUAAGAGCUAACAAAGGGUAAGUCCAGGUGCCAUGAAAGCAUGGUGGUGAGGAAGCUGACAUGCUAGUGGUGAUGGUUGGAGUGAAGAUGUCUGGGAGGAAAUGCCUGCUGGGAUGAGACUCAAAGGACAAGUGAUAGACUCUGGAAAAUAUGGUGAAGAAAAGGCUAAGAAGCUCACAUGUGCGAGGAAACUGAGAAGGUACAGGGCACGGUGAGAGACGGAUGCAAAGACGGAUGGCAUGUGCCUAUGAAGGCUUGGGGAAAUAGGAGCUCGGUGAGUCCACAGAGCACUGUUGUAGCCAGGGGCCAGGAGAUGAUACCCACACUAUCUCAGGGGUGGCAGGAAGUGGUUAAGCGUUUGAAACCUUGGAAUGCCGUGGUCCUGUUUGUGGUUUGCAGACUUCUCUGGUUGCCACUUGGCAGUGUGGAGGGAAAUACUGGAGGAAUGAUGCAAUAAUCCAGAUGACGGAGGAGCACUGCUACCACAGCAGCACAGACGGUGGAACUAAGUAUCUGCAUAGAAGAAGGAAACAUGUCGAAAGGAUCAUUGGACUCUGAGUCAUGGGUGGUAGAGAGAGAAGGUGGAACCUUUGUCUCUGAUUUGAGUAAAUGAUCAUGCCACUUAUUUAAAGGUGAUAUGGGAUCAUUUAGAAAUUGUCUCUAUUUAAUGAAUUAAUUUAUUUAUUGUUUUUUGACACAGGGUUUCCCUGUAGCCCCAGCUUGCCUGGAACUGGCUAUGCAGAUCAGGCUGACCACAAUCUCACAGAGAUCUGUCUGUCUUUAACUCCAGAGUACUGAGAUUAAAGCGUGCGUUUUGCCAGUCUUCCAAACCCCGGCCCUCCUCUGCAUCAGCUGCUUGGCUGAGGCCAAGGCCAAAAUCACCCAGAGCGAGGACCAGCCUGUCAUUUGGCCUGAGCAAAGUAGAUGGCUGACUGGGCACACAGACUAACAAAGCGGUCACAGUGAGGAAGACACCAGAGGGGGGCCUUCGGCUCAAGGUUGUCCUGGGGAUUAGCCCUAGGAGUCUGGGAGAUGCAAGCACGGGAAGGGUAAAGGAAAAUGUGCAAAGAUGUUGUAUUCCAUCCAGUCCACGCUUCUAGAGGAAUGGAAAGGGAGCAGACCCCAUCCUUCAGCCAACAGGUACUACUACUACUGAAGUCUCUGCCGGCCGACACUCCCAGGACACAAGCUGAGGCUGUGAUUGGAAGCUAAUGUUGGGAUGAUCACAUUGAAGAGUCUGAAAGCUGAGAGGAAAUUUCUCCAAAGCCAUCCAAGCCAGGCUUGUGACCUGAAGCCCAGGGCUUGUCACCCCCUCUCUGAGCUCAGAACUACAAAGGCUAGCUGGCAUUCUCCAACCCGCCCAGCUCCUUUCAAACCCACAGACUGUGCCAGACUUGGCCCCACCUCCCCCUGCAGCAGAUUCUGUAGCCCAGCUCCAUGCUGUGCUUCAGGGAGCCAGAUUUCCGUUUUAAUUGUCCUACCUGGCCAUCCCCUCUGCCACUAGCCCUGGUUCUUGGUUCUUGGCAAGGUUUCAAAGGCCCAAUCAAUGGCCUACCCUCCCCCAUCAUAAUCUUCAAUGCCUGUAGUUCCUCCUUCCCCAAAAUGUAUUCCUUUCAAAUAAAAUCUUCUCAGCAGUUUCUCA